Molecule: small nuclear RNA, 135 nt
Organism: Ochlerotatus camptorhynchus
Lineage: Eukaryota; Metazoa; Arthropoda; Insecta; Diptera; Culicidae
Product: U4 spliceosomal RNA
Exons: 1
Source: RefSeq, a predicted model, not a curated record
AACUUUGCGCAGUGGCGAUUUCGCAACCAAUGAGGUACAACCGAGGUGCGAUAAUUGCUAGAUCAAAACUCAGAUUGCCUAGUCAGUACCGAUUUCCCGUUCGGUCGAAGAAAUCUUUCGGGUUGAACAUUUUCU